CUCAGAUUGCGUUUAACUCCCUUGAGAGCUGACGGUUGUCACGUAAAUUACCUAGAAGAUUGCGUUAAAUUCUUUGAAGAAUCCUGGAAAUUGAUCUCCAAAAGCUUCUGUUCUAACACCUGACGUCCGGAAAAAAUCCCUGGUAGUUGUGUAGCAUUGAAGCAUCGGUCAGGUUUUUUUUUUUUCUCAUGGUGCACUUUUGAAGCAUUGUGCCCAGAGACAUCAAGAUCACCUUCACAAGAACUAGGAUGGCGAGCCCCAGCCCAGAGGACCGAGUGAACCGGUAGAUGGUGACCCGACUGGUCACCAGCCGUGAAACUCUGAAAAAAUAUUUCACAAACACAUUGGAAAGACUAAACAAACUUGGAAUGAACAUUUGACAGACAUCAAAAAGACUGGGUUAUUUAUUUACAUUUUUUUUUAAAAAGCGCGCAAUUUUUGUUUAUUUGUACAAUGUGGAUCCACAAAUGUUUAUAUUAAAUUCAACUUUUUUUAUAUACAUUGUGUGCUCUCCUCUGUUGCUCAUAACUAGGCUCCCGUGAAUUUAGAAUCUCCUGAUCAGGCCCAACUUCCUUACAGUUUUGUAGUGAUGGUAUUAGUAAGGUACAUUAACUUAACUUGCCAUCUACUAUUAAAGGUAUUUAAAGUAACCUUUCUUGUGGGUUGCACUUGCUCAACUUGUUUCUGCUUAUUAAGAUAAUCCAAGGUGUGACGAAAAACCUUCUUACAUAAUGUUACCAAAACAUGUGGCCUCAAAUAGUUAGUGUAGAGCUGAACCCAAGCAGAUGUUGCCCACUUGGAUCUGGACUAGCAGGGUUAAAAUCACUUUAAACUGCAAUAAAGAGUAGGUUUCAYAGAGCAAUGAUAAAUUGACCAGAGUAAAGUCUGAUCACCAAAUAAUGUUGAUUAAAUUCUAAUCUGACAGAGAAUAACAAUCAGGAAAUAAAGUUUUUUUCUUUCCAUUUAGUACUCUGACAGUCAAUAAUGAGAACUGAUCUAUGGGGAAGGUCAUUUCUUAACCCUAUAAAGUCUGACCCAUCAAAAAUAGUCAGAAAAUAAAAUUUUUUUAGAACUAGGAUCUUCAUGAAGCCUUGAAGCAAAAUCCAAUUUUUUAUUUUUUUUUUGCAAUGUCAUUUAUUUUAUAAGAUCAUUUUUGUAUCACAUUUGACUCGCUAUGUUCUUCCUCUUUGAGUUAGUUGCAUGUUUUUUCUUUCAAGCAGUUUUAUGUGCUUUUUGAGUUUAGUAAUUAUAAGGACUGCCUCUAGAUGGAGGCCUCGUCAUUAUCUCCAGUUGCAACAGAUAGUUUUUUAUUCUGUUUUACAUAAAACAAAAGCCAAGAAAAAAAAAGAAAAAUAAUCAUCUGAGAAAAACAGUGUAGUAACUCAUGAUCCUUGUGGCUGUUUUUGUAUUUUCUGUGAAUUUCUUUAUUUUUUUCUUCAUUAUUAAGAAAUUAUGCACACACCUUCCUCUUUCAUUGUUUUUUGCAAAUGUAGCCUUGGCAAAAAUUCUAUCUGGGAGACCCAUUACCACGCCUCAGCCAACCAGGACCAGAUCAUUGCUCUGCUCCAGCCAAUCACCUUGCAAGAGCUCCUUCAAAAGGCCAAUCAACCUCGGAUCCACCAGCUGCAGACGUGCUUCGACCCACCCCCUCCCCGUCUCCACCCUCAUCCUGCCAGGCAUCUUCCAGGCUCCCUGCAGGCUCCUUCCCCUCUAAGCUGUGCUCCACCGCCAGUAACUGGGCCCGGGGGAAGACUACCCUGAGCUUCGCCCUGAGCCAAUAAUCCAAGCUUGCAGCGAUUCCCAGCUAGCACGUCUUCUGCCGGUGUCCGAGCGCCAAGUUCUCGGUCCAAUAAACCGUCUAACUGCUG
Molecule: non-coding RNA, 1868 nt
Organism: Poecilia reticulata (guppy)
Lineage: Eukaryota; Metazoa; Chordata; Actinopteri; Cyprinodontiformes; Poeciliidae
Source: RefSeq, a predicted model, not a curated record